RNAcentral lists this ribosomal RNA (538 nucleotides) under uncultured eukaryote. RNAcentral describes it as "SSU rRNA". It matches the Rfam family "Eukaryotic small subunit ribosomal RNA", at positions 1117 to 1680 of the family's 1831-position model. The record is from RNAcentral.
GGGGAAGUAUGGUUGCAAAGCUGAAACUUAAAGAAAUUGACGGAAGGCCACCACCAGGAGUGGAGCCUGCGGUUUAAUUUGACUCAACACAGGAAAACUCACCUGGCCCGGACACCGUGAGGAUUGACAGAUUGAGAGCUCUUUCUUGAUUCGGUGGUUGGUGGUGCAUGGCCGUUCUUAGUUGGUGGAGUGAUUUGUCUGGUUUAUUCCGAUAACGAGCGAGACUCUAGCCUACUAAAUAGUUACUGGAUAAUUGCGUCCAGAAGACUUCUUAGAGGGACAAGCGGUGUUCAGCCGCACGAAGCUGAGCAAUAACAGGUCUGUGAUGCCCUUAGGUGUCCAGGGCUGCACGCGCGCUACACUGGAGGAAUCAGCGUGCUGUAACCAUUGCCGAAAGGCAUUGGUAACCCCUUGAAAAUCCUCCGUGAUCGGGAUCGGGAAUUGCAAUUAUUUCCCUUGAACGAGGAAUUCCUAGUAAGUGUGAGUCAUCAGCUCACGUUGAUUACGUCCCUGCCCUUUGUACACACCGCCCGUCGCU